Molecule: long non-coding RNA, 486 nt
Organism: Lagopus leucura (white-tailed ptarmigan)
Lineage: Eukaryota; Metazoa; Chordata; Aves; Galliformes; Phasianidae
Exons: 4
Source: RefSeq, a predicted model, not a curated record
UCUGAAGCUUACGAUAUGGCACAGAGGUUCAUUUAUCCAUAUACGAUGUGAAUUUCACUAUCAUAAACUCCUCCUACAUCACUUUAAAGCACAUGGUGCUUGUUGACAGCUUAUCAAGGAAAACAAGUGCCGGCUAAAUGCAAGAGGACAAGUUUCCUCCUCUGUUUGGAGAAAAUAGAACUGAAUACUGAAACUGCAUUGAGCCAAUAGUCAGGUUAUUCUCAAAGCAGCAGCCAAGGAUUACUCCACAUGGUCAACACUGAUGCAACUCAAUUUUACACACACAGCUGCCAGUCACGAGAGGAAGCAUCUGUUUUAGGAUAUGCCAAGUAUCAGAACUUCUAGGACCACGGAGAGUGCUUCCACGAGCCCGGAGGGGCAUCCCUCCACUUCCUGUGUGCGAAGGAAUGUAUUUUACUAUUAGUAUUAAGUAUUUACAGGAAAUAAAAUCGGAGGUGUGGAUGUAUGUGGAUGUUUAUUCAUCUU